GAGUAAGGUUACUCGGACAUGGCCCAGUGAGGGUGAAAGGCCCGUGGGGGUGGAGAUUCAGAUUGGACAGCAUCUCCCUGAGCAGACCUUGGAGUCGGGUUGUUUGUGAAUGCAGCCCAAAGCGGGUGGUAAACUCCAUCCAAGGCUAAAUACUUGCACGAGUCCGAUAGCGAACAAGUACCGUGAGGGAAAGUUGAAAAGUACUUUGAAGAGAGAGUAAACAGUGCGUGAAGCCGUUCAGAGGUAAACGGGUGGAGUUGAACUGCAAGCUCUGAGGAUUCAGCUGGUGAGAUUGGCAUGAUCUUGGUCAUGUGGGUUGUGUUCUCGGGUCUGCUUAGCUGCAGGUCCCCGCUUCGGCGGGGGUGCGCGAAUCAUUAUCAAAUGUUGCGCGCCCGGUUGGUGACGAACCCGCUCGCCAGUGCACUAUCUCAGAGUGUUCACCACGACCGGCGUUGCCGUCUGGCUGUUGCGGUAAAACCGGCCCGGUAGGGUCCUUGCGGCUCUGCUAGGUCGGGAUGGCAGGUAGCCUGUUGUGCAAUUUAUUGUGCUUCGGGUGUAAUAGCCGACUGCUUCGGUUCUGUGCGGUACGUCGGAGACGGCGGCUUGUUGUGCUUGCAGGCGUGCCUGCUGUACUGGCGGCUCUGAGUCUGGUUGCCUUGUUGCUUGUGAAUGCAGGCCAGGUGAUGGCUCGGUGUCGUUUGGUCGGCGGUUGCGUAUGUUGCACCUUGACAGGGCCCAUAGUCUGUGGUGUAGUGGUAGACUAUCCACCUGACCCGUCUUGAAACACGGACCAAGGAGAGUAACAUGUGCGCGAGUCAUUGGGCGUUACGAAACCCAAAGGCGCAGUGAAAGUAAAGGCUCGGCUUGUCUGGGCUGAGGUGAGAUCCUGUCGUUUCUCAUGCGCGGUACUACCAAGCUUCGAGCGGCAGGCGCAUCACCGGCCCGUCCCAUGGCGUAGAGGCGGCCUCGUGCUUGCUCAUCGUCGGGGCGGAGCAUGAGCGUACAUGUUGAGACCCGAAAGAUGGUGAACUAUGCUUGCGCAGGUUGAAGCCAGAGGAAACU
This 1062-nucleotide ribosomal RNA is filed under the name Fasciolopsis buskii. RNAcentral describes it as "eukaryotic LSU rRNA". It matches the Rfam family "Eukaryotic large subunit ribosomal RNA", at positions 179 to 863 of the family's 3401-position model. Lineage: Eukaryota; Metazoa; Platyhelminthes; Trematoda; Plagiorchiida; Fasciolidae. The record is from RNAcentral.